RNAcentral lists this ribosomal RNA (254 nucleotides) under uncultured bacterium. RNAcentral's name for it is "partial 16S ribosomal RNA". It matches the Rfam family "Bacterial small subunit ribosomal RNA", at positions 524 to 776 of the family's 1533-position model. The record is from RNAcentral.
UACGAGAGGCCCAAACGUUAUUCGGAAUUACUGGGCUUAAAGAGCUCGUAGGCGGCUUGGCAAGUCGGGUGUGAAACCUCCAGGCUCAACCUGGAGACGCCACCCGAUACUGCCAUGGCUAGAGUCCGGUAGGGGACCACGGAAUUCCUGGUGUAGCGGUGAAAUGCGCAGAUAUCAGGAGGAACACCGAUGGCGAAGGCAGGUCUCUGGGCAUUAACUGACGCUGAGGAGCGAAAGCAUGGGGAGCGAACAGG